RNAcentral lists this ribosomal RNA (201 nucleotides) under uncultured bacterium. RNAcentral describes it as "partial 16S ribosomal RNA". It matches the Rfam family "Bacterial small subunit ribosomal RNA", at positions 1199 to 1399 of the family's 1533-position model. The record is from RNAcentral.
UCCACGCAGUAAACGAUGAAUGUUAGUCGUCGGGGGCGUACAGAGAGUUGCAAUACCGCGAGGUGGAGCCAAUCUCAUAAAGCGUCUCUCAGUUCGGAUUGAUCUCUGCAACUCGAGAUCAUGAAGCUGGAAUCACUAGUAAUCGUAGAUCAGCAACGCUACGGUGAAUACGUUCCCGGGUCUUGCACUCACCGCCCGUUG